AAGUGAAAUAUUUCAAAGCAAUGAAUUGCUUUGAAAUGUGAAAUACGCCUUCGGCGUGUGAAAUAUUGGGCUGCGCCCAAUGUGAAAUAUUCG
RNAcentral lists this small RNA (93 nucleotides) under Aristaeella lactis. RNAcentral's name for it is "Gut-1 RNA". It matches the Rfam family "Gut-1 RNA". The record is from RNAcentral. Lineage: Bacteria; Bacillati; Bacillota; Clostridia; Eubacteriales; Aristaeellaceae.